AACUUUUGGAUCCAAACUUUUAGGGAGGGAUCUUAAGAUUUUAGUUACUAGUUCAAAGUUAGUAAAAUCUUUACCAAGAGCUUUGAGUCCAUUGAUGACAUCCGUAAACCAGGUGUACAUGUCUCCGAUGGACUCACUUGGUUUCAUUCGGAAAAGUUCGUAAGAGUGCACAAGGAUGUUGAUUUUGGACUCUUUCACUCGGCUAGUGCCUUCAUG
This 216-nucleotide long non-coding RNA is filed under the name Musa acuminata (dwarf banana). Its description in RNAcentral is "long non-coding RNA (MACU_LNC009141)". The record is from RNAcentral. Lineage: Eukaryota; Viridiplantae; Streptophyta; Magnoliopsida; Zingiberales; Musaceae.